UUAUAGUAUAAAUAUUACAAAGCCUUUUCACGGCUUGGAUCCUUGACCUAAGGUAAUUAAC
RNAcentral lists this transfer RNA (61 nucleotides) under Hyperhalosydna striata. RNAcentral's name for it is "tRNA-Glu". Lineage: Eukaryota; Metazoa; Annelida; Polychaeta; Phyllodocida; Polynoidae. The record is from RNAcentral.